AUUUAGUUCUCCUCUGACAUGAGCAGGUACACCAGUACCAGGCGCUCUGCGCAAAGGCAUCCCUGCAUUUACCCCAGCUAAAUUUGAUGCUGCUGGAAGACCAUUUGCAGUACGAUUGAAACCAGUUACAGCAUUUGCUGGACGAGCUAACCCAGUAGAAUUAGAGAGAUUAGUCCUGUUCGUAUUUGCAGCUGGAAGCUGUGAACCAGCAUUUAAACUAUUUGAGUUAGGCACGCCAACUGCUUGUUGAGAACCAGUAAAGUUAGAGUCAAUUCCAUUCAGUUCCUGGGCAACAUGUUCCAUGAUGAAAGGUCGAAA
RNAcentral lists this unclassified non-coding RNA (318 nucleotides) under Hevea brasiliensis (rubber tree). The record is from RNAcentral. Lineage: Eukaryota; Viridiplantae; Streptophyta; Magnoliopsida; Malpighiales; Euphorbiaceae.